GUUAAAAUGAGUUUCAGAUUACAAAACCAUGGAACAAACAACUAGAGGAAAAUUAUGAAGAUUAAGAGGAUGUACAAAAGCGAGCAACCGCAGGAAAGAGAUUCACGAGCGACCUCUUCCUUUCAAGUUUGACGAGGUUUGUUCGUUUCUCUGAUGCGGCAUCAGCGUCAGCAACCAAUAAUUAACAAAGAGGCGAAAAACUUUUUAACGGUUUGUUGAUAGUUAUCGCCGGUGACUGCAAUUGCUCGUCUUUUCCAUAUUUCUAUCGCCGCUGCAAAUUCCCACUCACGCAUUACGUGUUGCUAGCGUACAAUUGUUUCAUCUUCUAAUUCUCUAAUUUUAUUGGUUGCUGAGCUGUUAUUAAAAUUCCUUUGCAUUUUCUGAUCGUCGUUGUUGACACAGCGCAUUCCAGAAACGAACAAAUCUAUACUGUGAAGACUGAAAAGAAUGUGGGAAUUAUUAACAAACAACAAAACCAAGUUUUAUAUAUACUGUGAAGAUUGAAGAGAAUGUGAGAGUCAUUAACAAACAACAAAACCAAGCGAGGCUCGGCCUAGUGGUUUUGAGGAAACUUCGAUUUCAAUAUGGAUCCAGGUUCAAAUUCUACUAGCUAUUAGAGGUAAAAUUUAAAAUUUGGGUUUUCCUCUGGUGAUCGACACGUGCUUCGGCCGAUAAGGUAGACCGAUCAAAAGCUAUCCGGUCCGAUGGUGAUGAAACUGUCUUUUUCUUUUCUCUUAUAAUUUGACAACGAAACUCUCUCAUCUUAUCAUAGACAAACAAUUAGACGUUAUGUAUUGACUUAAGAUGUCUUAUCGAAAGCUAACCGGUCCAAUGGUGAUGAAACUGUCUUUUUCUUUUCUUUUAUAAUUUGACAACCAAACCAUCUUUCUGCCGUCAGUAUAUAAAACUUUCCCAAACAAAAAUAAAAUUGAAAAAAAAACAAGAGACACAACUUUAUUAUAUUUUUCCCCCAAAAGAAAAUCUUUUUUUUCCACAAGCAAGAAGCCACACAAAUUUUUUUUU
Long non-coding RNA from Raphanus sativus (radish), 1023 nucleotides. RefSeq lists it as uncharacterized. The transcript is spliced from 2 exons. The record is from RefSeq and is a predicted model, not a curated record. Lineage: Eukaryota; Viridiplantae; Streptophyta; Magnoliopsida; Brassicales; Brassicaceae.